Molecule: non-coding RNA, 203 nt
Organism: Caenorhabditis elegans
Lineage: Eukaryota; Metazoa; Nematoda; Chromadorea; Rhabditida; Rhabditidae
Source: Ensembl
UUGUGUUUCGAAAUUUUCUUGAGACGUGCCACCACCAAGGGUUCAGGUUCAAAUUUCAAAUUUGCAGUGAUUUAGUGAAACAGGGCUUCGGACAGAUGUAUCUACAUUGUCUAACUUCUCUAUCAUAUUCCAUUGUCUUUUCGUAGCACCUUUCAGACAGGUGCCCAGUCACUCAUGUACCUGUUGUCAGCUGGGUUAGUUGA